UAGCGAAGGGGGCUAGCGUUGCUCGGAAUCACUGGGCGUAAAGGGUGCGUAGGCGGGUCUUUAAGUCAGGGGUGAAAUCCUGGAGCUCAACUCCAGAACUGCCUUUGAUACUGAAGAUCUUGAGUUCGGGAGAGGUGAGUGGAACUGCGAGUGUAGAGGUGAAAUUCGUAGAUAUUCGCAAGAACACCAGUGGCGAAGGCGGCUCACUGGCCCGAUACUGACGCUGAUGCACGAAAGCGUGGGGAGCAAACAGG
Molecule: ribosomal RNA, 254 nt
Filed under: uncultured bacterium
Lineage: Bacteria
Description: partial 16S ribosomal RNA
Rfam family: Bacterial small subunit ribosomal RNA
Source: RNAcentral